This 1294-nucleotide ribosomal RNA is filed under the name metagenome. RNAcentral's name for it is "bacterial SSU rRNA". It matches the Rfam family "Bacterial small subunit ribosomal RNA", at positions 209 to 1498 of the family's 1533-position model. The record is from RNAcentral.
GGCCUUGCACUAUUGGAGUGGCCGAUGUCGGAUUAGCUAGUUGGUGGGGUAAAAGCUUACCAAGGCGACGAUCCGUAGCUGGUCUGAGAGGACGAUCAGCCACACUGGAACUGAGACACGGUCCAAACUCCUACGGGAGGCAGCAGUGGGGAAUUUUGGACAAUGGGCGCAAGCCUGAUCCAGCCAUGCCGCGUGAGUGAAGAAGGCCUUCGGGUUGUAAAGCUCUUUCGGUGAAGACGAAACGGUUCAUGCUAAUAACGUGAACUAAUGACGGUACUCACAGAAGAAGCACCGGCUAACUACGUGCCAGCAGCCGCGGUAAUACGUAGGGUGCAGGCGUUAAUCGGAAUUACUGGGCGUAAAGCGUGCGCAGGCGGUUUGCUAAGACAGGUGUGAAAUCCCCGGGCUUAACCUGGGAAUUGCGCUUGUAACUGGCAAGCUAGAGUGUGGCAGAGGGGGGUGGAAUUCCACGUGUAGCAGUGAAAUGCGUAGAUAUGUGGAGGAACACCGAUGGCGAAGGCAGCCCCCUGGGUUAACACUGACGCUCAUGCACGAAAGCGUGGGGAGCAAACAGGAUUAGAUACCCUGGUAGUCCACGCCCUAAACUAUGUCAACUAGUUGUCGGGGAAGAAAUUCCUUGGUAACGAAGCUAACGCGUGAAGUUGACCGCCUGGGGAGUACGGCCGCAAGGUUAAAACUCAAAGGAAUUGACGGGGACCCGCACAAGCGGUGGAUUAUGUGGAUUAAUUCGAUCAACGCGAAAAACCUUACCUACCCUUGACAUGCUAGGAAGCCCGCAGAGAUGUGGGUGUGCCCGAAAGGGAACCUAGACACAGGUGCUGCAUGGCUGUCGUCAGCUCGUGUCGUGAGAUGUUGGGUUAAGUCCCGCAAGGAGCGCAACCCUUGCCAUUAGUUGCUACAUUCAGUUGGGCACUCUAAUGGGACCGCCGGUGACAAACCGGAGGAAGGUGGGGAUGACGUCAAGUCCUCAUGGCCCUUAUGGGUAGGGCUUCACACGUAAUACAAUGGUCGGUACAGAGGGCUGCCAACCCGCAAGGGGGAGCUAAUCCCAGAAAGCCGAUCGUAGUCCGGAUUGUAGUCUGCAACUCGACUGCAUGAAGCCGGAAUCGCUAGUAAUCGCGGAUCAGCAUGUCGCGGUGAAUACGUUCCCGGGUCUUGUACACACCGCCCGUCACACCAUGGGAGUGGGUUCCACCAGAAGUAGUUAGCCUAACCGCAAGGAGGGCGAUUACCACGGUGAGAUUCAUGACUGGGGUGAAGUCGUAACAAGGUA